GGUUUCAAAGUUGGUGUGGGAGAGAGGGCUGGCAAGGCACAGUCCCCUUGGGGCAGGCAAAGGGACGGGUUACUCUUCAGCACAAUGUCAGCGUGUGCAGGGCAGGGCAGCUCCAACCUGUGUCUGGCGUGUACUUCGUGUCGUCUGUGUUCCGUGUCUCAGACUGUAUGUUCCUUGGGUCUUGCUGCCUCCAUAGCCUGGUGAUCAGCAGGCACCUCGGUAGCCCUCCCAAGAGUCCGGAAUGCAUCGCUUCACAAGCACAGAGCCUGUUGAGCCCUUCUCAUCUCAGAAUUACAGCUUGAUGCAUGGAUCUCUUUGGCGUGUGUCACAUCCUGGCUGUUUCUGAGCCUUCAUCUCUUGCGGUGGCCAGCCAGGUGCUGCCCGCAGCUCUGCUCUUGAGUCUUCUGUUUCCACAGAGUCAUCUUCUGGGGUUUCAUCCCCGUGUCCUCACUGGUCUUAGGUCUUCCAGCUCAGCUUCUCACACAUCCCUUAUUCUGGUUUUGAUGGCAGCUUUCUCUUGUGUGCGGCGGCAAUUGCCUCUCUUUGGCAGGUCUGCUUUAGAGCAUCUGUGCCAUCGUGGCACCGCAGGGCUUCUCUGCCGGCAUCAUCUUCCCUAUGGGAAUUGUUCUCCUGUCCUGUGGUCUUCUCAUGUAUCGUGGUCACGUUGCUGUGCUUGAUAAAGUGGAAUCUUUCACUGAACAAGGACAAGAGAGUCACAGAAAGUUACAGAGUUCUUGUGAAACAAAGAUCCUGCUGUUCAAACAAGAAGAUGAGGAGGUACUUGCUUUGCUUAAAAUGUGGCAAAACUGCCAAAGUUGCUGUAGGUGAGUGAUCUCUUCUGCUUGUUGCAAGAUCAUGAAUAUGAAAACCCCACCUCCAGCACUUAGGCAGCCCACCUCCAACUGAAGACCCCCACUCAUUGUGUGUGCUGUAGCUCUAAAUCAGAGUGAGACAUUCACUAACCAAUCAGAGAAGAAUAACUGUGAAUAUGUAUUAGGUGGAGGAAACUAACCAAAAGUGUGUGAAUGUGUAGAGUUUUGUGACUUCAGGGGGCAGCUUUGCAGCUUACCACCUAGCACCUCAUUUGUGCAAACAUGCAAUAAAUGAAAAUACCUUGGCUCUGUAUGUGUUUUGGCAUCUUGCAUACCAGGUGAAUGACCCCACUUUUGGUAGAAGGAGGUAUAACACUCGUGGCAUCCGUGUGUAGUCCUGGUCUGUGUGUGAGGGUUGGAGCUGCCCUGCCCAGGGGUGCAGCAGUACUGAAGAUGAUAGGGUAGCGUAGCUUUAUGGGGCUGUGGAAGUAAGUUGGUUUGGACCAAUUCUGUUGGCAGAGACCAUACGGUCCAUCUCUGGGCCAACAGGUGUAGGCAGCUGCCACAGUUGUGUUUUCUUUAUGGUCCGGGGCUAGGAUUGGAUCCAGCCGCACCUAGACUCCUCUGAGAAGGAGUUUAGAAAGCAAGGGGGUCCAGUCUGAACCUCGUGACUGGUUGGGAGCAGCAGUAAGUGUGGAAGGGGAGCGGGUCAGAUCUGGAAGCUGCCUUAGCUUGCACAGAUGGGGCUCCCUAGCUGGCUUUUCAUCUUCGAGCUGUAGUGAGAAGGUAUAUGCAAAAGGCAGAGAGACCUCUGGCCUCACCAAGCUACCUGUGGCUGUGCGGGUGACUUGCUUUACAGGGUGUGUUUGUGUUGUUUCAGAUGCAGAGCAACAAGCAGCACGGCCAAGGGCACGGAAGAGGGGAGCAGAGUGCUGGCUGAAGAAGGACAGGCAUCCAGCGCUGGAGUAUCGGCAGGACAGCUGGUGGCUCCGACAAGCUUGAGCUUCUCUGGCUGGAUUUUCUGGGUGCGGAUCCAAGUGUGAAGCGAGAUGUUAUCAGCAGAGUGGCCUCUGGCAAGUGUUGGGGUUUUCAUUUUGGAGGCACAAGGCCAGGAGCAAAGCAGGACAUCAGCACUGCAGGUGACUCAGGGGAGGUGGUACACAAGCCCUCCUAGUCCCCUGGGAUCCCCGCCUGGAUGAUUCAGGAUGGCCUGGUGCUGUGCAUUGCAUUUCCAGAGACAAACAGCAGCUUGGCAGCCUGUGGUCAGGACUCCAGAGAGAUUUGAGAAGGCCCCAGAGCACCUUCUGCAUCCUCUCACAGUCAGCAUGUGAGCGAAGUGAUGCAGGAUUCCCACCUCUGUGCUGGCCCCACGUGCCAUCCUUUUCCCCUGUGGUUCCAGACUGUCAGCAUGGGAGAGACUUGCUUCCCCUCCAGGUCCAAGUGCUUCCUGGACCUGCCACAGAACCUGAGCUUUCCUGUUGCAUUGAUUGAAGAGCUGCAUAACACUUAGAGCCUGGUGUAGGUUGGCUUCUUCCUGCUAAGAAGCCAUUUCUUUACAAAAUGCUUUUCUUUGUCUAAGAUGGAGACAUACAAGUAGUGGUGACCAGAUCUGUGCUUGAAAAUGGACUUGAUGGAAAGUACCAAACCUGUCUUUUGUUGCAAUCCGUAAUGAUUUUUUUUGGCCUUUUUUUUUUUGUACUGCUUCUCAAAUACAGUUUUCCAGCCUUUUUUUAAAGUUAAGCAGCCAUUGAACGAAAAAUCAGCACUCAGAAUAUUGAUGGAAAAAUAAUUGUGAACAAUUUAAAAACUUCACAGAUUUGUGUAUAAGAUGAAUUUAUUUGAAAAAGUGACACACUUGUUGCUAAUCAAUUAAUAACACAUAAUUUUUCACUUCAUAAUGGAGUCACAAGCUGCUGUCCUCAGACCCUGAUCUCUGGGAGGCUCUUUGUAGAAAAUCAUGCAUAGGAAUAGGAUCAUCCUCUAGGAAAGCUGGAAACACAGUGGUUCAUAAAUGGGAUUUUUUUUUUGGAGUAAAACCUGGCCAGGGAAGACGUUCUCGAGUGUAAGUGUGGUAAUUAAUAAGAUUGUAAUGAUGAGAAACUCA
Apus apus (common swift) is the source of this 2916-nucleotide long non-coding RNA. RefSeq lists it as uncharacterized. The transcript has 3 exons. The record is from RefSeq and is a predicted model, not a curated record. Lineage: Eukaryota; Metazoa; Chordata; Aves; Apodiformes; Apodidae.